Molecule: ribosomal RNA, 393 nt
Filed under: Escherichia coli
Lineage: Bacteria; Pseudomonadati; Pseudomonadota; Gammaproteobacteria; Enterobacterales; Enterobacteriaceae
Also listed under: 1 other name
Description: bacterial LSU rRNA
Rfam family: Bacterial large subunit ribosomal RNA
Source: RNAcentral
UGGUGGGUAGUUUGACUGGGGCGGUCUCCUCCUAAAGAGUAACGGAGGAGCACGAAGGUUGGCUAAUCCUGGUCGGACAUCAGGAGGUUAGUGCAAUGGCAUAAGCCAGCUUGACUGCGAGCGUGACGGCGCGAGCAGGUGCGAAAGCAGGUCAUAGUGAUCCGGUGGUUCUGAAUGGAAGGGCCAUCGCUCAACGGAUAAAAGGUACUCCGGGGAUAACAGGCUGAUACCGCCCAAGAGUUCAUAUCGACGGCGGUGUUUGGCACCUCGAUGUCGGCUCAUCACAUCCUGGGGCUGAAGUAGGUCCCAAGGGUAUGGCUGUUCGCCAUUUAAAGUGGUACGCGAGCUGGGUUUAGAACGUCGUGAGACAGUUCGGUCCCUAUCUGCCGUGGG